Molecule: long non-coding RNA, 280 nt
Organism: Oxyura jamaicensis (ruddy duck)
Lineage: Eukaryota; Metazoa; Chordata; Aves; Anseriformes; Anatidae
Exons: 3
Source: RefSeq, a predicted model, not a curated record
AAAGUGUGCAUUUACAUUUGUGAUCAUUUUUCAGUUUUCUGUCACCUCCUACAUCUGUAGUGCCAGCUUUCUGGCAAGGAGAAGGCUUAGACGUCCAAAUCUCUUCAGCAAGAAAUAGGAUGUGCACUGCAACUACAGCUCUCUACAAAAGGUCGCAUUUUAUGGAAAAGUUUCUUCACUCUGAAUCUAACAGGAUACCUGUGUAGGAGGUGUUGGGAAGCUUGAAAAUGUUUCCAUAGAUACAAAACAGAGCCCUAACAGAGCUUUCAGCCAGGCCAUG